ACGAUCCGUAACUGGUCUGAGAGGAUGAUCAGUCACACGAGAAUUGAGACACGCUCCAGACUCCUACGGGAGGCAGCAGUGGGGAAUAUUGCACAAUGGGGGAAAGCCUGAUCCACCCACCCCCGCGUGUGUGAAGAAGGUCUUCGGAUUGUAAAGCACUUUAAGUUGGGAGAAAGGGCAUUAACGUAAUACGUUAGUGUUUUGACGUUACCGACAGAAUAAGCACCGGCUAACUGUGUCCCAGCAGCCGGGGUAAUACAGAGGGCGCAAGCGUUAAUGGGAAUUACUGGGCGUAAAGCGCGCGUAGGUGGUUUGUUAAGUUGGAUGUGAAAUCCCCGGUCUUCAACCUGGGAACUGCAUCCAAAACUGGGAAGCUAGAGUAGGGCAGAGGGUGGUGGAAUUUCCUGUGUAGCGGUGAAAUGCGUAGAUAUAGGAAGGAACACCAGUGGGCGAAGGCGUCCACCUGGGCUCGAUACUGACAGUGGAGGUAGCGAAAGCGUGGGGAGCAAACAGGAUUAGAUCCCCUGGUAGUCCACUGCCGUAAACGAUGUCAACUAGCCGUUGGAAUCCUUGAGAUUUUAUUGGCGCAGCUAACGCAUUAAGUUGACCGCCUGGGGAGUACGGCCGCAAGGUUAAAACUCAAAUGAAUUGACGGGGGCCCGCACAAGCGGUGGAGCAUGUGGUUUAAUUCGAAGCAACGCGAAAAACCUUACCAGGCCUUGACAUGCAAAGAACUUUCUAGAGAUAGAUUGGUGCCUUCUGGAACUCUGACACAGGUGCUGCAUGGCUGUCCUCAGCUCCUGUCCUGAGAUGUUGGGUUAAGUCCCGUAACGAGCGCAACCCUUGUCCUUAUUUACCCAGCACGUUAUGGUGGGCACUCUAAGGAGACUGCCGGUGACAAACCGGAGGAAGGUGGGGAUGACGUCAAGUCAUCAUGGCCCUUACGGCCUGGGCUACACACGUGCUACAAUGGUCGGUACAGAGGGUUGCCAAGCCGCGAGGUGGAGCUAAUCUCACAAAACCGAUCGUAGUCCGGAUCGCAGUCUGCAACUCGA
This 1055-nucleotide ribosomal RNA is filed under the name Pseudomonas alkylphenolica. RNAcentral's name for it is "bacterial SSU rRNA". It matches the Rfam family "Bacterial small subunit ribosomal RNA", at positions 276 to 1315 of the family's 1533-position model. The record is from RNAcentral. Lineage: Bacteria; Pseudomonadati; Pseudomonadota; Gammaproteobacteria; Pseudomonadales; Pseudomonadaceae.